RNAcentral lists this ribosomal RNA (200 nucleotides) under uncultured bacterium. Its description in RNAcentral is "partial 16S ribosomal RNA". It matches the Rfam family "Bacterial small subunit ribosomal RNA", at positions 29 to 256 of the family's 1533-position model. The record is from RNAcentral.
AACGAACGCUGGCGGCAUGCCUAAUACAUGCAAGUCGAACGAACACUUCGGUGUUAGUGGCGCACGGGUGCGUAACGCGUGGGAAUCUACCCUUGGGUUCGGAAUAACAGUUGGAAACGACUGCUAAUACCGGAUAAGCCCUUCGGGGGAAAGAUUUAUCGCCAUUGGAGCGGCCCGCGUAGGAUUGGCUUGUUGGUGGG